RNAcentral lists this ribosomal RNA (225 nucleotides) under uncultured Alkalibacter sp. RNAcentral describes it as "partial 16S ribosomal RNA". It matches the Rfam family "Bacterial small subunit ribosomal RNA", at positions 568 to 792 of the family's 1533-position model. Lineage: Bacteria; Bacillati; Bacillota; Clostridia; Eubacteriales; Eubacteriaceae. The record is from RNAcentral.
CGCGUAGGCGGAUCAGAAAGUUGGGGGUGAAAUCCCGGGGCUUAACCCCGGAAUUGCAUUUGAAACUGUAAUACUUGAGUACUGGAGAGGUAAGUGGAAUUCCUAGUGUAGCGGUGAAAUGCGUAGAUAUUAGGAGGAACACCAGUGGCGAAGGCGACUUACUGGACAGAUACUGACGCUGAGGCGCGAAAGCGUGGGGAGCAAACAGGAUUAGAUACCCCCGUA